AUUGAACGCUGGCGGCAGGCCUAACACAUGCAAGUCGAGCGGAUGAAGGGAGCUUGCUCCUGGAUUCAGCGGCGGACGGGUGAGUAAUGCCUAGGAAUCUGCCUGGUAGUGGGGGAUAACGUCCGGAAACGGGCGCUAAUACCGCAUACGUCCUGAGGGAGAAAGUGGGGGAUCUUCGGACCUCACGCUAUCAGAUGAGCCUAGGUCGGAUUAGCUAGUUGGUGGGGUAAAGGCCUACCAAGGCGACGAUCCGUAACUGGUCUGAGAGGAUGAUCAGUCAAACUGGAACUGAGAAACGGUCCGGACUCCUACGGGAGGCAGCAGUGGGGAAUAUUGGAAAAUGGGCGAAAGCCUGAUCCAGCCAUGCCGCGUGUGUGAAGAAGGUCUUCGGAUUGUAAAGCACUUUAAGUUGGGAGGAAGGGCAGUAAGUUAAUACCUUGCUGUUUUGACGUUACCAACAGAAUAAGCACCGGCUAACUUCGUG
Molecule: ribosomal RNA, 484 nt
Filed under: uncultured bacterium
Lineage: Bacteria
Description: partial 16S ribosomal RNA
Rfam family: Bacterial small subunit ribosomal RNA
Source: RNAcentral